ACGAAGUUCCCGUUGAUUGACGUGCUUGCACUGAUUUCAACAUUGGAACGAGUGGCGAACUGGUGAGUAACACGUGGAAAACCUUGCCCAGAAGCAGGGGAUAACACUUGGAAACAGGUGCUAAUACCGUAUAACAACAAAAACCGCAUGGUUUUUGUUUGAAAGGUGGCUUCGGCUAUCACUUCUGGAUGGUUCCGCGGCGCAUUAGCUUGUUGGUGGGGUAACGGCUCACCAAGGCGAUGAUGCGUAGCCGACCUGAGAGGGUAAUCGGCCACAUUGGGACUGAGACACGGCCCAGACUCCUACGGGAGGCAGCAGUAGGGAAUCUUCCACAAUGGACGCAAGUCUGAUGGAGCAAUGCCGCGUGAGUGAAGAAGGGUUUCGGCUCGUAAAACUCUGUUGUUGAAGAAGAACGGGUGUCAGAGUAACUGUUGACAUCGUGACGGUAUUCAACCAGAAAGCCACGGCUAACUACGUGCCAGCAGCCGCGGUAAUACGUAGGUGGCAAGCGUUGUCCGGAUUUAUUGGGCGUAAAGCGAGCGCAGGCGGUUUCUUAAGUCUGAUGUGAAAGCCUUCGGCUUAACCGAAGAAGUGCAUCGGAAACUGGGGAACUUGAGUGCAGAAGAGGACAGUGGAACUCCAUGUGUAGCGGUGGAAUGCGUAGAUAUAUGGAAGAACACCAGUGGCGAAAGCGGCUGUCUAGUCUGCAACUGACGCUGAGGCUCGAAAGCAUGGGUAGCGAACAGGAUUAGAUACCCUGGUAGUCCAUGCGUAACGAUGAGUGCUAGUGUUGAGGGUUUCGCCCUCAGUGCGCAGCUACGCAU
Molecule: ribosomal RNA, 824 nt
Filed under: Levilactobacillus namurensis
Lineage: Bacteria; Bacillati; Bacillota; Bacilli; Lactobacillales; Lactobacillaceae
Description: bacterial SSU rRNA
Rfam family: Bacterial small subunit ribosomal RNA
Source: RNAcentral